GAGUUUGAUCAUGGCUCAGAUUGAACGCUGGCGGCAGGCCUAACACAUGCAAGUCGAGCGGAUGACGGGAGCUUGCUCCUUGAUUCAGCGGCGGACGGGUGAGUAAUGCCUGGGAAUCUGCCUGGUAGUGGGGGACAACGUUUCGAAAGGAACGCUAAUACCGCAUACGUCCUACGGGAGAAAGCAGGGGACCUUCGGGCCUUGCGCUAUCAGAUGAGCCUAGGUCGGAUUAGCUAGUUGGUGGGGUAAUGGCUCACCAAGGCGACGAUCCGUAACUGGUCUGAGAGGAUGAUCAGUCACACUGGAACUGAGACACGGUCCAGACUCCUACGGGAGGCAGCAGUGGGGAAUAUUGGACAAUGGGCGAAAGCCUGAUCCAGCCAUGCCGCGUGUGUGAAGAAGGUCUUCGGAUUGUAAAGCACUUUAAGUUGGGAGGAAGGGCAGUAAGUUAAUACCUUGCUGUUUUGACGUUACCAACAGAAUAAGCACCGGCUAACUCUGUGCCAGCA
Molecule: ribosomal RNA, 509 nt
Filed under: bacterium enrichment culture clone ALO1_GLFRUDD03GGU9X
Lineage: Bacteria
Description: bacterial SSU rRNA
Rfam family: Bacterial small subunit ribosomal RNA
Source: RNAcentral